UGCCAUAGGGAUAUUGAGCUAUUAGAGCAAACACUAAUGCUACAGAGAAGAUUAGCAUAGCCCCUGUGCAAGAAUGACAUACAAAUUCAUGAAGUGUUCCAUAAAAAC
Molecule: small nuclear RNA, 108 nt
Organism: Mustela putorius furo (domestic ferret)
Lineage: Eukaryota; Metazoa; Chordata; Mammalia; Carnivora; Mustelidae
Source: Ensembl